CACAAAUAUAGAAACAUGGAGGGAAGACGGCCAUGUCACCAUGGAGGCGGAAAUUGGAAUGAUGCAUCUACAAACCAAAGAACACCAAGGAUUGCCGGCCGUCACCAGAAGCUGGGAAAGAGGUUUGUCCUCAGAAUCUCCAGAAGGAACCAACCCUGCCAACACCUUGAUCUUGGACUUCCAGUCUCCAGAAAUGAAGACUCUGUGGCUUCAAGAGUUUGUCCGACUUGUACAAGUUCCACAGGCAAUGAAAGAUAAACAAGGGCCGGGAUUUCAGGAUCAGCUGGCUGACAUACACACCGACUCUUGCCCCAUUUGUAAUUGAGAACCACCUGCCCCAGAAAUGAAGAAACAUAGAAGCCUUGUACUUCUGCUUUUACCUUUUCUAAGCUGUCACUCAUGACUGAGUCAUGGAAAAUGACAACUUUAUUUUAGGAAACCAACGGCACAAGUAUAUGCAAUGUUUCAAUCUCCAGAAUUAAAGCGUCCAGGUACACGGGAUUAUGGUCACAAAAAGCAUCUUCAGUAUCUUCUGCUCCAAAUCCUCAGGAAACUUGUGGCUGGAGAUGCUGCAUGGACUACUCCAAACCACACAGUGAAUCUCUAAAUGCAGCCAGUUGAGACGACUGGAUGUGGCAUGCUGUACUUUGAAAAGACACAUGAAUCCCAGGUCGGCAGCACCCUAAACUAUCUUCCAUCUAAUCCGUUGGUCAAGGUGUUGCACUGAUUGUGUGUCAAGUCUGUUUCUCAUGGAGAGAGAUGCUUCAACUUCUGGUUGUUGAUAGCUUUUGGCUUUAAAGAACAAG
RNAcentral lists this long non-coding RNA (806 nucleotides) under Equus caballus (horse). RNAcentral describes it as "lncRNA (ENSECAG00000046608.1)". The record is from RNAcentral. Lineage: Eukaryota; Metazoa; Chordata; Mammalia; Perissodactyla; Equidae.